Molecule: ribosomal RNA, 437 nt
Filed under: Wolbachia endosymbiont of Greenidea cayratiae
Lineage: Bacteria; Pseudomonadati; Pseudomonadota; Alphaproteobacteria; Rickettsiales; Anaplasmataceae
Description: bacterial SSU rRNA
Rfam family: Bacterial small subunit ribosomal RNA
Source: RNAcentral
CAUACCUAUUCGAAGGGAUAGGGUCGGUUUGGCCGGAUUUCACACAGGUGUUGCAUGGCUGUCGUCAGCUCGUGUCGUGAGAUGUUGGGUUAAGUCCCGCAACGAGCGCAACCCUCAUCCUUAGUUACCAUCAGGUUAUGCUGGGGACUUUAAGGAAACUGCCAGUGAUAAACUGGAGGAAGGUGGGGAUGAUGUCAAGUCAUCAUGGCCCUUAUGGAGUGGGCUACACACGUGCUACAAUGGUGAUUACAAUGGGCUGCAAGGUCGCAAGGCUGAGCUAAUCCUAAAAAACCAUCUCAGUUCGGAUUGUUCUCUGCAACUCGAGAGCAUGAAGUUGGAAUCGCUAGUAAUCGUGGAUCAGCAUGCCACGGUGAAUACGUUCUCGGGUCUUGUACACACUGCCCGUCACGCCAUGGGAAUUGGUUUCACUCGAAGCU